Molecule: long non-coding RNA, 764 nt
Organism: Xyrauchen texanus (razorback sucker)
Lineage: Eukaryota; Metazoa; Chordata; Actinopteri; Cypriniformes; Catostomidae
Exons: 4
Source: RefSeq, a predicted model, not a curated record
AUCAAUUUGGACGCGUUCGUGAAAGGACUGAACAGAUAUUAUAUGGGCUCGGCUACAGCAUGGGGGUAUCAGAACAGCUAACCAAACACUUCAUACUACUUCCUGCACAGAACCGCUGACCAAACAUUUCAUAUCACAUCCUGAACAUCUGCCGAAGGUAGGGUAGGGGACCGGAAGCAAAGGUCAAAGAGCUACUCCUGGUGAACAAGGUUUGAAAUGAACAUCCAAAUGCAGAUUUUUUCAUGCUGAGUAUUUUGCUGAUGAACCAGCCACUGUGGAGGGCGACCUGUAAGACUUCUCAGAGUGAUACAUUACAAGACAUUAGACACUAAGAUUUGUCCAGGAGUGCUUUCCCUUCAGGCACCUUUCCAUGUUUCCCAAAUGCCACCGCAUUUUGGCACUCCUCUGCACUGAAGAAUUAGUCAAAAAGAAGAUGGAAUAAGCGAAGACAGUCCUUCCUUGCCUCUGCAUGGAUUGCAGCCAAGCGGGUUGAGGACAGGAAGAGGCCGCUAUCUGGAUACAGAUCUUGUUUCCCAGAUCUGAUUUUUGAAGCCAUAACACCAGCCUGAGGUUGUAUCUGUUCAACUUUAUCCAGAAAGCACUUUAAUGUUUCAAGUUGUUCACCACCUGUAACACAGAUGAUGAAUUACUAAUUUACAGGAAUAUAGCAAUGUUUAAGAAAUCAAGAAAAUAAAAUGUUUAUUAAUUAGACUGUGGGCCCUGUUUCACUGGAAAAAUGCAUUUCCAUUUGAAUAAAGAGGCCA